AAGGGAUAACCCGUCGAAAGUCGGACUAAUACCUUAUGCAGUCGUCGGAAGUCAUCUGAUGACGACGAAAGAUUUCAUCGGUGAGGGAUGGGGAUGCGUCUGAUUAGCUUGUUGGCGGGGUAACGGCCCACCAAGGCGACGAUCAGUAGGGGUUCUGAGAGGAAGGUCCCCCACAUUGGAACUGAGACACGGUCCAAACUCCUACGGGAGGCAGCAGUGAGGAAUAUUGGUCAAUGGACGAGAGUCUGAACCAGCCAAGUAGCGUGCAGGAUGACGGCCCUAUGGGUUGUAAACUGCUUUUAUGCGGGGAUAAAGUGAGGGACGUGUCCUUCAUUGCAGGUACCGCAUGAAAAAGGACCGGCUAAUUCCGUGCCAGCAGCCGCGGUAAUACGGAAGGUCCAGGCGUUAUCCGGAUUUAUUGGGUUUAAAGGGAGCGUAGGCGGAUUGUUAAGUCAGCGGUUAAAGGGUGUGGCUCAACCAUGCAUUGCCGUUGAAACUGGCGAUCUUGAGUGCAGACAGGGAUGCCGGAAUUCGUGGUGUAGCGGUGAAAUGCUUAGAUAUCACGAAGAACUCCGAUCGCG
This 581-nucleotide ribosomal RNA is filed under the name uncultured bacterium. RNAcentral describes it as "bacterial SSU rRNA". It matches the Rfam family "Bacterial small subunit ribosomal RNA", at positions 138 to 717 of the family's 1533-position model. The record is from RNAcentral.